This 251-nucleotide ribosomal RNA is filed under the name uncultured prokaryote. Its description in RNAcentral is "partial 16S rRNA". It matches the Rfam family "Bacterial small subunit ribosomal RNA", at positions 525 to 775 of the family's 1533-position model. The record is from RNAcentral.
ACGGAGGGUGCAAGCGUUACUCGGAAUCACUGGGCGUAAAGAGAGUGUAGGCGGGUAUAUAAAUUAGAAGUGAAAACCAAUUGAUUAAACAUUGAAAUGCUUUUGAAACUGCGUACCUCGAAUGUGGGAGAGUUAAAUGGAAUUUCCGGUGUAGGGGUAAAAUCCGUAGAUAUCAGAAGGAAUACCGGUUGCGAAGGCGAUCUACUGGAACAUUAUUGACGCUGAGACUCGAAAGCGUGGGGAGCAAACAG